This 931-nucleotide long non-coding RNA is filed under the name Sus scrofa (pig). RNAcentral describes it as "lncRNA (ENSSSCG00060004012.1)". Lineage: Eukaryota; Metazoa; Chordata; Mammalia; Artiodactyla; Suidae. The record is from RNAcentral.
ACUUCUCCAUCGUUGCCCUCUUUUAAUCUGACCUCAACUCAAAGCCCUGCAGAUGCCAAUGCAGAUUAUUAACUCCAGAAGCAAUCAUCCUGAGGUUUUAAAGCUUCGAGAUAAUCCUCUGAUGUUAAAAUUGUCAACCUCUCUAAAUAAUGAAGUGAAAGAAUAAAAAGUCAAUAUGCAACAACCAAGCUCAAUAAACGCCUAUGGGGAGUCAUCUUUCUCGAGAGCCACAGAAUAAUAAAUGGACAGGUAUUCCUCUGAGCUUACUUUGUCAUAUGUUACAAUAACACUAAGAGAACUACAUUCUAAUGGUUAUUUGACUUUAGUAUCCUAAGAGUAUUAAUCAACUAGUAUGUUGAUUGUCUAUAACUUGAUAUAUAUAUCUGCUAGAUAAGUGUGUUCAGACAGGAAGAGAGAAGGGGAAGAGAAUUAAAAUUUAUGAAGUAUCCCCAAUGUGUUGGUCACUAUAUUUGGUCCAUUAUAUAUGUAUUAUCUUCUGAGGUAUAAUGAAUCAUAAUAUAAUACUUUGAUAUCACAAAAUGUUUGUAAUGCUGUAAGUUAUCUAUUACUAUAUUCAUGCUAUAAAGAAACUGGAUUAGUUUUCUGUGGCUGCUAUAACAAUUUACCUCAAAUUUGUUGGCUCAAAACAUAAAUCUGUCUUCAGAGUGUGAAGUGGGUUUCACUGGCCUAAAGUCGAGAUGUCAUCAGGGCUGCGUUCCUUUCUGAAGGCUCCAGGGGAGGACCCCUUUCCUUGCUUUGUCAUUUUCUAGAGGCUCCCCAAACUCUGAAGGUUUUACCCUCUCGGCUCUUGACCUUCUUCCUUCUUCUUCAAAGUCAAUGAUACUUGACCACAUCCUUUUCAUGCUGCUUUCUCUCAGUUUUCUUCCACUUCCCUCUCCCACUAUUAAAGGCCCUUGGGGUUACACUGGAC